Molecule: ribosomal RNA, 423 nt
Filed under: uncultured Anaerolineae bacterium
Lineage: Bacteria; Bacillati; Chloroflexota; Anaerolineae
Description: bacterial SSU rRNA
Rfam family: Bacterial small subunit ribosomal RNA
Source: RNAcentral
GAGUUUGAUCUUGGCUCAGGAUGAACGCUGGCGGCGUGCCUAAUACAUGCAAGUCGAACGGAACACUGUAGCAAUACAUUGUUUAGUGGCGAACGGGUGAGUAACGCGUUGGUGACCUGCCUCGAAGCGGGGGAUAACAGUCCGAAAGGAUUGCUAAUACCCCAUGUGGCCAUAAGGGUUAGAGGCCUUAUGACUAAAGGAGUAAUUCACUUCGAGAGGGGCCUGCGUCCCAUCAGCUAGUUGGUAGGGUAAUGGCCUACCAAGGCUUAGACGGGUAGGGGACCUGAGAGGGUGACCCCCCACACUGGAACUGAAAACGGUACCACGACACCUACGGGUGGCAGCAGUAGGGAAUAUUGCACAAUGGACGAAAGUCUGAUGCAGCAACGCCGCGUGUGCGAUGAAGGCCUUCGGUUGUAAGAC